AACGAACGCUGGCGGCGUGGAUAAGACAUGCAAGUCGAGCGCAAUAUUUACCGUAGCAAUACGGUAGAUGUUGAGCGGCGCAAGGGUGGCGUAACACGUGGGUAAGUUUGUCCGUGAAGUUGGGGAGUAACUCGCUGAAAGGACGAGCUAAUACCGAAUGUGGUUUCUGGUGGCAUCACUUGGUAACCAAAGACUGGGGAGUCGCAAGACCUGGCGCUUCAUGAUAAGCCCGCGGCCUAUCAGCUAGUUGGUGCGGUAACGGCGCACCAAGGCUAAGACGGGUAGCUGGUCUGAGAGGACGACCAGCCACACUGGAACUGAGACACGGUCCAGACACCUACGGGAGGAG
Molecule: ribosomal RNA, 349 nt
Filed under: uncultured Verrucomicrobiota bacterium
Lineage: Bacteria; Pseudomonadati; Verrucomicrobiota
Description: bacterial SSU rRNA
Rfam family: Bacterial small subunit ribosomal RNA
Source: RNAcentral